GCCAAGCAGCCGCGGUAAUUCCAGCUCCAAUAGCGUAUAUUAAAGUUGUUGCGGUUAAAAAGCUCGUAGUUGGAUCUCGGCGGGCAGGGGGUGGUUCGCUCUUCAGCGCUACUGCCCCGCUUUGCCCGUGUGAUUGGCGGAGGUUUCGGGGUGCUCUUCGUUGAGUGACUCGGAGCGCCGUCAGGUUUACUUUGAAAAAAUUAGAGUGCUCAAAGCAGGCUUUUCACGCUUGAAUAUUCGUGCAUGGAAUAAUGGAAUAGGAACUCGUUUCUAUUUUGUUGGUUUUCGGAAAUCGAGUUAAUGAUUAACAGGGACAAUUGGGGGCAUUAGUAUUCAGACGACAGAGGUGAAAUUCUUGGACCGUCUGAAGACUGACUACUGCGAAAGCAUUUGCCAAGAGUGUUUUCAUUAAUCAAGAACGAAAGUUAGAGGUUCGAAGGCGAUCAGAUACCGCCCUAGUUCUAACCAUAAACGAUGCCAGCUAGCGAUCUGCCGAGUUUUUUUUGUAGGCUCCGCAGGAAGCUUUCGGGAAACCAAAGCUUUUGGGUUCCGGGGGAAGUAUGGUUGCAAAGCUGAAACUUAAAGGAAUUGACGGAAGGGCACCACCAGGAGUGGAGCCUGCGGCUUAAUUUGACUCAACACGGGAAAUCUCACCAGGCCCGGACACUGGAAGGAUUGACAGAUUGAGAGCUCUUUCUCGAUUCGGUGGGUGGUGGUGCAUGGGCCGUUCUUAGUUGGUGGAGUGAUUUGUCUGGUUAAUUCCGAUAACGAACGAGACUCUGUCCUGCUAAAUAGUUGGCGUAAUGAUUUUCAUUGCGUACAUCUUCUUAGAGGGACUUUGUGUGACUAACACAAGGAAGUUGGGGGCAAUAACAGGUCUGUGAUGCCCAA
RNAcentral lists this ribosomal RNA (891 nucleotides) under uncultured eukaryote. Its description in RNAcentral is "bacterial SSU rRNA". It matches the Rfam family "Eukaryotic small subunit ribosomal RNA", at positions 566 to 1474 of the family's 1831-position model. The record is from RNAcentral.